ACCAAUAAUCCGUGCAAAAAAAUAACUGCAGACGUUAAAUCGUCUGAUUACACACUAGCUGCAUAAGCUACUGUGAAUCCGUUAGCCCAGGUGCCGCUCCCGGCCUGGGAUCUAGCGUCGACUAGGGGGCUUUUCACUUCAUUGGUGUUGCAGACGAUGAAGGAGAACAGUUUUGCAACUGAGUCUGUCGAGGAAAUGUGUGUAAAAACCUCGGGACUGAGAAAGCGUUAAUCACACUACGCCCGUAGAAGCCCUGUUUUAAUACCGAAGGACCCGGGUUCGAUUCCCGGCACCUCCACAA
RNAcentral lists this transfer-messenger RNA (301 nucleotides) under Candidatus Planktophila sp. Its description in RNAcentral is "partial transfer-messenger RNA". It matches the Rfam family "transfer-messenger RNA", at positions 72 to 374 of the family's 374-position model. From Rfam's summary of the family: Bacterial tmRNA, also known as 10Sa RNA or SsrA, is named for its dual tRNA and mRNA-like properties. Its role is to liberate the mRNA from a stalled ribosome. The record is from RNAcentral. Lineage: Bacteria; Bacillati; Actinomycetota; Actinomycetes; Candidatus Nanopelagicales; Candidatus Nanopelagicaceae.